AGAGUUUGAUCAUGGCUCAGAGCGAACGCUGGCGGAAUGCUUAACACAUGCAAGUCGCACGGGGGCUUCGGCCUUAGUGGCGGACGGGUGAGUAACGCGUAGGAAUGUGUCCGAGGGUGGGGGAUAACGUUGGGAAACUGACGCUAAUACCGCAUAUCCCCUGAGGGGGAAAGCAGUGAUGCGCCCACGGAGCAGCCUGCGUCCGAUUAGCUAGUUGGUUAGGUAAAGGCUGACCAAGGCGACGAUCGGUAGCUGGUCUGAGAGGAUGAUCAGCCACACUGGAACUGAGACACGGUCCAGACUCCUACGGGAGGCAGCAGUGGGGAAUAUUGGACAAUGGGCGCAAGCCUGAUCAGCCAUGCCGCGUGUGUGAAGAAGGCCUUCGGGUUGUAAAGCACUUUUGUCCGGAAAGAAAUCUUGUAGCUUAAUACGCUGCAAGGAUGACGGUACCGGAAGAAUAAGCACCGGCUAACUUCGUGCCAGCAGCCGCGGUAAUAC
RNAcentral lists this ribosomal RNA (498 nucleotides) under uncultured bacterium. RNAcentral describes it as "bacterial SSU rRNA". It matches the Rfam family "Bacterial small subunit ribosomal RNA", at positions 8 to 526 of the family's 1533-position model. The record is from RNAcentral.